UUUAUUGUAACAGAAAUAUGUCACACAAAAAUGUUGACCAAGGUCUCAAAAAUAGGGUAUGAUAUUAGAAGGCUCUGAAAUUUGGAAUCACUCCAUUUGGAGUGGAUUUGAACCCUAUAUGAUUUUUGAAAAGUGGGGCUAAAUAUAUUCAAUAUGUAUUUGAAUAAUGACAUAACAGAAAAGUUGCUUGGAAAAAUGUGCAAAUCACAUCUUUAGAUAGGUCUUCAUUUUAGAGACCUCUAGAAAUUUGAAUCAACAUUUUUGGAGUUAGAAUGAUUUAACUAAAUAUUUUUGAAGUUUACUGAUAAAAUAAAAAGGGGAAAGAGGGCCUCCAGAGUUGGGCUAUCCUACACACCGGGCGUAGGUUAAUAGCAUG
Molecule: long non-coding RNA, 376 nt
Filed under: Hordeum vulgare
Lineage: Eukaryota; Viridiplantae; Streptophyta; Magnoliopsida; Poales; Poaceae
Description: long non-coding RNA (HVUL_LNC016384)
Source: RNAcentral